RNAcentral lists this ribosomal RNA (742 nucleotides) under uncultured marine bacterium. RNAcentral's name for it is "bacterial SSU rRNA". It matches the Rfam family "Bacterial small subunit ribosomal RNA", at positions 62 to 806 of the family's 1533-position model. The record is from RNAcentral.
UUGAGCGAAGCUUUUUGGUAGUUUACUACUAGAAAUGACUGAGCGGCGAACGGGUGAGUAACGCGUGAGCAAUCUACCUUAGUUACUGGGAUAGCCCGAGGAAACUCGGAUUAAUACCGGAUAUUCUUAUUUUUUCACAUGAAGUUUUAAGGAAAGGUCAGCCGAACUAAGAUGAGCUCGCGUUCUAUCAGCUAGUUGGUGGGGUAAAAGCCUACCAAGGCUACGACGGAUAGCUGGUCUGAGAGGACGAUCAGCCACACUGGGACUGAGACACGGCCCAGACUCCUACGGGAGGCUGCAGCAGGGAAUAUUGUGCAAUGAGCGAAAGCUUGACACAGCGACACCGCGUGUGGGAUGACGGUUCUAGGAUUGUAAACCACUUUCAGGAGGGAAGAAAAUGACGGUACCUCCACAAGAAGACCCGGCCAACUAUGUGCCAGCAGCCGCGGUAAAUACAUAGGGGUCAAAGCGUUGUCCGGAUUUAUUGGGCGUAAAGAGCUCGUAGGCGGUUCAACAAGUCGGUCGUAAAAGUUUAGGGCUCAACCCUAAAAUGUCGAUCGAUACUGUUGUGACUAGGAUACCGGUAGAGGUGAAUGGAAUUCCGAGUGUAGCGGUGAAAUGCGUAGAUAUUCGAGAGGAACACCAAUUGCGAAGGCAGUUCACUGGACCGUGAUCGACCGCUGAGGAAGCGAAAGCUAGGGGAGCAAACAGGAUUAGAUACCCUGGUAGUCCUAGCUGUAAA